CAGCAGCCACGGUAAUACGAAGGGUGCAAGCGUUACUCGGAAUUACUGGGCGUAAAGCGUGCGCAGGCGGUUAUAUAAGACAGAUGUGAAAUCCCCGGGCUCAACCUGGGAACUGCAUUUGUGACUGUAUAGCUAGAGUACGGCAGAGGGGGAUGGAAUUCCGCGUGUAGCAGGGAAAUGCGUAGAUAUGCGGAGGAACACCGAUGGCGAAGGCAAUCCCCUGGGCCUGUACUGACGCUCAUGCACGAAAGCGUGGGGAGCAAACAGGAUUAGAUACCCCGUAGUCCCUGUCUCUUAUACC
Molecule: ribosomal RNA, 301 nt
Filed under: uncultured bacterium
Lineage: Bacteria
Description: partial 16S ribosomal RNA
Rfam family: Bacterial small subunit ribosomal RNA
Source: RNAcentral